AGCGGAGGAAAAGAAACCAACAGGGAUUGCCUUAGUAACGGCGAGUGAAGCGGCAAAAGCUCAAAUUUGUAAUCUGGCACCUUCGGUGUCCGAGUUGUAAUUUGAAGAAGGUAACUUUGGCUUUGGCUCUUGUCUAUGUUCCUUGGAACAGGACGUCACAGAGGGUGAGAAUCCCGUGCGAUGAGAUGCCCAUUGCUAUGUAAAGUGCUUUCGAAGAGUCGAGUUGUUUGGGAAUGCAGCUCUAAGUGGGUGGUAAAUUCCAUCUAAAGCUAAAUAUUGGCGAGAGACCGAUAGCGAACAAGUACAGUGAUGGAAAGAUGAAAAGAACUUUGAAAAGAGAGUGAAAAAGUACGUGAAAUUGUUGAAAGGGAAGGGCUUGAGAUCAGACUGGUGCUACAUAUGUUUUGCUUUCGGGUGGGGCCUCUAUGUGGUAUCGGGCCAGCAUCGGUUUGGACGGUAGGAUAAUGACAUUGGAAUGUGACUUUGCUACGGUAGAGUGUUAUAGCCUUUGUUGAUACUGCCUGUCUAGACCGAGGACUGCGUCUUUGACUAGGAUGUUGGCAUAAUGAUCUUAAGUCGCCCGUCUUGA
Molecule: ribosomal RNA, 589 nt
Filed under: Scheffersomyces sp.
Lineage: Eukaryota; Fungi; Ascomycota; Pichiomycetes; Serinales; Debaryomycetaceae
Description: partial large subunit ribosomal RNA
Rfam family: Eukaryotic large subunit ribosomal RNA
Source: RNAcentral